AGCAGCCGCGGUAAUUCCAGCUCCAAUAGCGUAUAUUAAAGUUGCUGCAGUUAAAAAGCUCGUAGUUGAAUUUCGGGAUUAAUAUGCUGGUCGUGCCAUUGGUACGUACUAGUAUUAUUGAUUUCUCCCUUCUGAUGAAUCAUGAUGUCAUUAAUUUGAUGUCAUGGGGAAUCAGGACUGUUACUUUGAAAAAAUUAGAGUGUUUAAAGCAGG
This 213-nucleotide ribosomal RNA is filed under the name uncultured Glomus. Its description in RNAcentral is "partial 18S ribosomal RNA". It matches the Rfam family "Eukaryotic small subunit ribosomal RNA", at positions 569 to 784 of the family's 1831-position model. Lineage: Eukaryota; Fungi; Glomeromycota; Glomeromycetes; Glomerales; Glomeraceae. The record is from RNAcentral.